Molecule: ribosomal RNA, 468 nt
Filed under: uncultured bacterium
Lineage: Bacteria
Description: partial 16S ribosomal RNA
Rfam family: Bacterial small subunit ribosomal RNA
Source: RNAcentral
GACGAACGCUGGCGGCGUGCUUAACACAUGCAAGUCGAACGGAAAGGCCCUGCUUUUGUGGGGUGCUCGGGUGGCGAACGGGUGAGUAACACGUGAGUAACCUGCCCUUGACUUUGGGAUAACUUCAGGAAACUGGGGCUAAUACCGGAUAGGAGCUCCUGCUGCAUGGUGGGGGUUGGAAAGUUUCGGCGGUUGGGGAUGGACUCGCGGCUUAUCAGCUUGUUGGUGGGGUAGUGGCUUACCAAGGCUUUGACGGGUAGCCGGCCUGAGAGGGUGACCGGCCACAUUAGGACUGAGAUACGGCCCAGACUCCUACGGGAGGCAGCAGUGGGGAAUAUUGCACAAUGGGCGGAAGCCUGAUGCAGCAACGCCGCGUGCGGGAUGACGGCCUUCGGGUUGUAAACCGCUUUCGCCUGUGACGAAGCGUGAGUGACGGUAAUGGGUAAAGAAGCACCGGCUAACUACGUG